This is a long non-coding RNA of Musa acuminata AAA Group (dessert banana), 550 nucleotides long. RefSeq lists it as uncharacterized. NCBI's taxonomy places the organism in Eukaryota, Viridiplantae, Streptophyta, Magnoliopsida, Zingiberales, Musaceae. The record is from RefSeq and is a predicted model, not a curated record. The transcript is spliced from 2 exons.
CCUCUCUCUCUCUCUCUCCAUCUGCCAUGGCCAGCAACAGCGUCCGGUGCCAUCUCUCUCUCUCGUCCUUCUCCCUGUUCUAUCGCCCAUUCGCCACCGAGAACGCGGCUGUCUUGGUUCAAAGCCCGGUGAUCUCCCUCGUUCGCCGCAGAUUGCGUCUCCCAAGGGUUUGGUGAGAAGGAUCCAUUGUUAUCCUCUGCUUUGGUACCGUGACUCGUCUCUUCUCUCUGAUGAACGAAGUAUUCACAUAGCAUCCGAACCACCACCAAAUGGAACCUUUUCUUCCCCACUUUAUGGCAUUUGCUUUGUUUGAUUUGUGAGAGAGAGAGAGAGAGAGAGAGAGAGAGAGAGAGAGGUAUCAUAUGCUUUUCUUUCCUUUAUGAAUAUCACAUAAUCAUAUGCUGCCCCUCACCUUAAUGAAUAGUCAACCCGUCCCAUUGGGCUAAUGGUUUUCUAUUUUCUUGAUUACAAAAAUCCUAAAGGGAUAACGAUUUUAUGUGUGUUUUUUGUGACGAUGAGGAUAUACAUUAAUUUAAAAUUAAAUUACUGA